GGACGAGUAGCGAAGCGGCUAAACGCAGCUGACUGUAAAUCAGCCAUCUUUCGGUUUCAGUGGUUCGAAUCCACUCUCGUCCACCA
RNAcentral lists this transfer RNA (86 nucleotides) under Mycoplasmataceae bacterium. RNAcentral describes it as "tRNA-Tyr". It matches the Rfam family "tRNA". Rfam says of the family: Transfer RNA (tRNA) molecules are approximately 80 nucleotides in length. Their secondary structure includes four short double-helical elements and three loops (D, anti-codon, and T loops). Further hydrogen bonds mediate the characteristic L-shaped molecular structure. tRNAs have two regions of fundamental functional importance: the anti-codon, which is responsible for specific mRNA codon recognition, and the 3' end, to which the tRNAs corresponding amino acid is attached (by aminoacyl-tRNA synthetases). tRNAs cope with the degeneracy of the genetic code in two manners: having more than one tRNA (with a specific anti-codon) for a particular amino acid; and 'wobble' base-pairing, i.e. permitting non-standard base-pairing at the 3rd anti-codon position. The record is from RNAcentral. Lineage: Bacteria; Bacillati; Mycoplasmatota; Mollicutes; Mycoplasmatales; Mycoplasmataceae.